UCCUGAAACUAAUCCUAAAACUAACUACAAAUAGGAGGCCCACAGGGGAAAAUUACUCUCCACAUCAGCCGCUCGUUUUAGUGGUCCAUUUUGAGGUUAUCUGUCCUUGCUCGCAAGUCCCGGCAUUUGUUCUCUUUGGGAGAUAGUUUUAUUCAGAGUCAAAACUAGGGUGACCGAUCUUUUAGCAAUACUUACCCUACAAAUCAACGGUGUGUUAUUUGCU
This is a long non-coding RNA of Culex quinquefasciatus (southern house mosquito), 223 nucleotides long. RefSeq lists it as uncharacterized. NCBI's taxonomy places the organism in Eukaryota, Metazoa, Arthropoda, Insecta, Diptera, Culicidae. The record is from RefSeq and is a predicted model, not a curated record. The transcript has 3 exons.